CCGAUUACUCUCCCACAACGGAUUAGCCCAGGCAAGGGCCUUGCCCUUUAAUUGAUUCAUUAGAUAACCAAUUCUUGCUCUGUCCGUGGGGAAUGACCCUGGUGAGGCCUCAAAAUGGUACUCCACCUGAUUAAGAAAACCCCUGCAUUCCUGGAUAUUGCCAUCAAACUGUAGGGAUGGUGAUAAGGAGAUGCUAGGAGUCCUAUUAACAGGGUAGAGGUGCUAUAGGAGGAGACGCUGCAGGCUGCAGAUGCUCCGUUCUAGCGAGAAGCGUACUUAAAGCCUGAGUGAAUUGAUCCAUGUGGUGAUCAUUCUCCUCUAAUUUCCUCUCGCAAGCAGCUAUGUGCUGACACAGUUCUACAGGAUCUAUGGCCAUGUCGUAAUGUCAGGAUUACUGUUUGAUCCAGCACGUAGAAC
This is a non-coding RNA of Pelobates cultripes (western spadefoot toad), 417 nucleotides long. NCBI's taxonomy places the organism in Eukaryota, Metazoa, Chordata, Amphibia, Anura, Pelobatidae. The record is from the annotation of a GenBank genome assembly.